GAUGAACGCUGGCGGCGUGCCUAAUACAUGCAAGUCGAGCGAACAGAUGAGGAGCUUGCUCCUCUGACGUUAGCGGCGGACGGGUGAGUAACACGUUGAUAACCUACCUAUAAGACUGGGAUAACUUCGGGAAACCGGAUCUAAUACCGGAUAAUAUAUUGAACCGCAUGGUUCAAUAGUGAAAGACGGUUUUGCCGUCGCUUAUAGAUGGAUCCGCGCCGCAUUAGCUAGUUGGUAAGGUAACGGCUUACCAAGGCAACGAUGCGUAGCCGACCUGAGAGGGUGAUCGGCCACACUGGAACUGAGACACGGUCCAGACUCCUACGGGAGGCAGCAGUAGGGAAUCUUCCGCAAUGGGCGAAAGCCUGACGGAGCAACGCCGCGUGAGUGAUGAAGGUCUUCGGAUCGUAAAACUCUGUUAUUAGGGAAGAACAAAUGUGUAAGUAACUAUGCACGUCUUGACGGUACCUAAUCAGAAAGCCACGGCUAACUACGUG
Molecule: ribosomal RNA, 497 nt
Filed under: uncultured bacterium
Lineage: Bacteria
Description: partial 16S ribosomal RNA
Rfam family: Bacterial small subunit ribosomal RNA
Source: RNAcentral